CCUACGGGUGGCUGCAGUGGGGAAUAUUGGACAAUGGGGGGAACCCUGAUCCAGCCAUGCCGCGUGUGUGAAGAAGGCCCUCGGGUUGUAAAGCACUUUCAGUGAGGAAGAACGCCUGGUGGUUAAUACCCAUCAGGAAAGACAUCACUCACAGAAGAAGCACCGGCUAACUCCGUGCCAGCAGCCGCGGUAAUACGGAGGGUGCGAGCGUUAAUCGGAAUUACUGGGCGUAAAGCGCGCGUAGGUGACUUGAUAAGCCGGUUGUGAAAGCCCCGGGCUCAACCUGGGAACGGCAUCCGGAACUGUCAAGCUAGAGUGCAGGAGAGGAAGGUAGAAUUCCCGGUGUAGCGGUGAAAUGCGUAGAGAUCGGGAGGAAUACCAGUGGCGAAGGCGGCCUUCUGGACUGACACUGACACUGAGGUGCGAAAGCGUGGGUAGCAAACAGGAUUAGAUACCCUAGUAGUC
Molecule: ribosomal RNA, 465 nt
Filed under: Vreelandella stevensii
Lineage: Bacteria; Pseudomonadati; Pseudomonadota; Gammaproteobacteria; Oceanospirillales; Halomonadaceae
Description: partial 16S ribosomal RNA
Rfam family: Bacterial small subunit ribosomal RNA
Source: RNAcentral